CCGGCGGUUGUCGUUGAAAACACCGCCGAGCAGACUACCCAGAAGCCAAUCGAGGAGCAGCCCGCGGUUGUGACUGCGGCUGAGACUGCCGAGGAGGAUCCGGCUCAGGCGAGGACCGGGGCGAGCACCCAGACAAGGGACGAUGAGGCUGCGAGGACGCCUCCCCCGAGUAGUGUCGCGGAGGAGGAAGACAGAGCCCCGACUUCCCUGCUAGCUGGAGAUAGGAGGGCCCUGACUCCACCCCGAGCAGAAGCUUCUUCACCAAAGGGCUCCCCUAGACAGGGUAAGGGUCCAGUGAUACCCGUGACCACGGCUGGGGGUAGCACGGAGGGCGGGGAGGCCUAGACAACCUCCAACGAUGAAGUGGAAGAGAUCCAGGGGCACCCCCAUGAUGGUCGCCAACACGUGUUCAUGUGGCACCAACAUGUGGACCACUUCAUCGGCCACGAAGAGCUUGCCGAGACCGAGGAGGCGGCAAGGGUAGAGCGCGCUGCCAAGCGGCUCGUUGAUGCAGUCAAGGUAGGUGGUCUUGUGUUUCGCCAAAAUAUGUAUAUAUUGUUGCUUGUUUACUUCACAAUACGUGUAAUUCUUGCAGGGCACAAUGAAAACGGCGAAGUACCGAAAAAGGUGCUUCGACCAAAUUGAAGGGAUCGUGGCCGAGAAUAAGGCCCUGACCGUGGAGGUGGACCGCCUUCGGUCGGAGGUCGAGGAGAAGGCGGCCGAGAAGGCAGCUCAGGAAGAGCGCCUGCUCGAUCUUAAUCGGCGACUAGCCGACAAGGAGCAUGCCGGUGCGCUGGAGGCCAGGCGCCAGGCUGGCGAGGAGCUAAAAAACAAGAGUCGAGAGUUGGCUGGUAAGAGCCGUUUCACCCUUUUUGAUUACACAACGUUCCUUUUCUCGUGUUUAUACUGACUUCUUGCUUGGUUUUCUGUCAUAGUGCUUAAAGUCAAUACUAAGAAGCACCUCGACGAGCUGGUCAAGGACCGGGACUCCUGGAAGACCAACUGUAUCAAGAUCUGGAAAGGAGUGGCCCCGGUUCUCGACUUGAUCAGCCCCGAGCUCCACGAAGACCAGCCCCGCGCAUCGAGGCUGACCUCGGUCGAGAAGGCGCAACAGGCGUGGGGCUGGCUUCAGCAGUUUGUCAAGGACAUCGGGGAGUUUGCCGGGGCGCACGUCCUCAGCAUGGUACGUGCCCACUACCCCUGGUUGACUUGUCCCGGCUGGAGAGGGGGUAUCCCAAGGAGGUUGGUCCGCAGGAGGCAGAUGACCUUUGUGUCGGCCUGCUCGACUUGUCGUCGACAGUGAUCAGCGACAUAAACCUCUGUGGGACGUCAACUCCCCUCAACCAACCCGGAUCAGACAGGUCAGCUAGGGAGUUGUCGGGGGCGUCCAUUGCAGGAGAUGGGCGGUCGACGCCUACGGUCUUGUCCAGCCAGACGCCGGUGGCCCCGAACCCUUCGACUGGACAGCAGAGCCGUGCGGGUGAUCAGCCCGAGCAGUAGGCUUAUAAGGUAGUCUGUAGGAGUAGACUAGAGACCGCCCAGAGGGGUGUUUAUUGUAAACUUUGUGUAUAAAGUUUGUAAUAAAGCUUAAUUUAUCGUAACCAUGGUUUUGAGCGCUGUAAUAUUGUUUGAGUGAUGUAUCACUGAGUCAAGUUGACGGUCUUUGAGGACCUUUGUCCUUGAAAGUAAUUUGUAGUACUUGUCGAAUGUUCUGCGUAUGAAAAAAGUAUAUAGCAAAAAAGAUAGGUUUAAUUAUUAUUCAUCAUAAAGGAUUUACAAAUGAAAUGUACUAGAACUUAGGGAUAGAAACGGCGUAAUUUGUCUAUGUGCUAGGAGUUGGGCAAGCGUGUUCCGUCUAGGUACGCCAGUCUGUAAGAUGUAGGGCGUGUGACUUCGGCGACCACGAAGGGUCCUUCCCAAGGUGUAGAUAACUUGUGCAUUCCUUCUUGGCUUGUUUUCCAUUUGAGUACCAGAUCACCGACCACGAAGGAGCGGUCUUUGACGUUCCUGUUGUGGUUCCGCCUAAUCGCUGUUCGAAGGCAAGAGAUUAGGCGCUUUUCUUCUGUGCAGUUGAUUUCGAGUUCUGUGGCGAGGUCGGCCGAAGACUGGUCGAAAUGUUCGACUCUUGGAGACCCAAAGACCACGUCCGAAGGGAGCACUGCUUCGGUGCCGUAAACCACGAAGUAGGGCGAUGCACCCGUGUUGCGACUAGCCUGUGUUCGGAGACCCCAAACCACAGCCGGUAACUCUUUCAUCCAUCGUCCUGGUGCUCUGCCGUUUUCAGUAUACAUCCUUUUCUUCAAAGCAUCGAUAAUCAUUCCGUUUGCUCGCUCCACGUGACCGUUGGCCCGUGGGUGGGCUACCGACACGUACUUUAUGACCAUGCUUCUGUCAUCGCAGAAGUCCCAUAAUGUAGUGCCGGUGAACUGAGUGCCCAGAUCAGUGAUUAUGCUGUUGGGGACCUCGAAUCUAUGUAUGAUUUGAUUGAGGAACUCCACGGCCUUCUCGGAAGUUGCUUUGACCAGUGGCAUGUACUCGAUCCAUUUCGAGAAUUUGUCGAUUAGUACGAAGACAAAUUUGAAAUUGCCGGGGGCCGGCUUGAAUGGUCCGAUCAUGUCGAGGCCCCAACAGGCGAACGGCCAGGACGACGGAAUCGUCUGAAUCUCGUGAGCGGGUACGUGGGUCCGCUUGGCGAAAAACUGGCAUCCUUCACAGUGUCGGACCAGUUUCUCGGCGUCGGCGACUGCGGUUGGCCAGUAAAAACCUGCUCGGAAAGCCUUCCCGACCAGUGUUCUGGAAGCGGCGUGGUUACCACAGGACCCGGCGUGUAUGUCAUCUAGGAGCUUGACGCCAUCAUCUUGGGAUAUGCAUUUCAGCAAUACUUCGAAACUUACGUUCUUAUACAUAUGUUUGCCGCCGACCAGUAUGUAAUUCUUAGAUCGCCGAAUAAGGCGCUCGUUCUCCGUUUUAUCUUGAAAUCCCGAACCGUCGGAUAGAUACUGGAUGAAGGGAGUGCGCCAGUCGUGGCUGCUGGUUGCCGGAGUGCUAUCGUCUAUGUGCAUUGCCUCAUUGGGUUGCUUGUCGACCAGACCGAGGAGGCGGCAAGGGUAGAGCGCGCUGCCAAGCGGCUCGUUGAUGAAGUCAAGGUAGGUGGUCUUGUGUUUCGCCAAAAUAUGUAUAUAUUGUUGCUUGCUUACUUCACAACACGUGUAAUUCUUGCAGGGCGCAAUGAAAACGGUGAAGUAUCGAAAAAGGUGCUUCGACCAAAUUGAAGGGAUCGUGGCCGAGAAUAAGGCCCUGACCGCGGAGGUGGACCGCCUUCGGUCGGAGGUCGAGGAGAAGGCGGCCGAGAAGGCAGCUCAGGAAGAGCGCCUGCUCGAUCUUAAUCGGCGACUAGCCGACAAGGAUCGGGAGAAGAAAGGUAAGUCGUGCGUUCCGAGCAGUUGUAUUUAACUACGUGGUCGGGUUUUUGACCAGCGAUUAUUUCUGCAGAUCUGGAGGAGGAGAUUAAUCGCCUCCUUGGGGAAAGGGAAUAGCUCGACCAGGAGCGUGCCGGUGCGCUGGAGGCCGGGCUCCAGGCUAGCGAGGAGCUAAAAAACAAGAGUCGAGAGUUGGCUGGUAAGAGCCGUUUCGCCCUUUUUGAUUACACAACGUUCCUUUUCUCGUGUUUAUACUAACUUCUUGCUUGGUUUUCUAUUAUAGUGCUUAAAGUCAAUACUAAGAAGCACCUCGACGAGCUGGUCAAGGACCGGGACUCCUGGAAGACCAACUGUAUCAAGAUCUAGAAAGGAGUGGCCCCGGUUCUCGACUUGAUCAGCCCCGAGCUCCCCGAAGACCAGCCCCGCGCAUCGAGGCUGACCCCGGUCGAGAAGGCGCAACAGGUGUGGGGCUGGCUUCAGCAGUUUGUCAAGGACGCCGGGGAGUUUGCCGAGGCGCACGUCCUCAGCAUGGUACGUGCCCACUACCCCUGGUCGACUUGUCCCGGCUGGAGAGGGGGUAUCCCAAGGAGGUUGGUCCGCAGGAGGUAGAUGACCUUCGUGUCGGCCUGCUCGACUUGUUGUCGACAGUGAUCGGUGACAUAAACCUCUAUGGGACGUCAACUCCCCUCAACCAACUCGGAUCAGACAGGUCAGCUAGGGAGUUGUCGGGGGCGUCCAUUGCAGGAGAUGGGCGGUCGACGCCUGCGGUCUCGUCCAGCCAGACGCCGGUGGCCCCGACCCCUUCGACUGGACAAUAGAGCCGUGCGGGUGAUCAACCCGAGCAGUAGGCUUGUAAGGUAGUCUGAAGGAGUAGACUAGAGACCGCCCAGAGGGGUGUUUAUUGUAAACUUUGUGUAUAAAGUUUGUAAUAAAGCUUAAUUUAUCGUAACCAUGGUUUUGAGCGCUGUAAUAUUGUUUGAGUGAUGUAUCACUGAGUCAAGUUGACGGUGUUUGAGGACCUUUGUCCUUGAAAGUAAUUUGUAGUACUUGUCGAAUGUUCUGCGUAUGAAAAAAGUAUAUAGCAAAAAAGACAGGUUUAAUUAUUAUUCGUCAUAAAGGAUUUACAAAUGAAAUGUACUAGAACUUAGGGAUCGAAAUGGCGUAAUUUGUCUAUGUGCUAUGAGUUGGGCAAGCGUGUUCCGUCUAGGUACGCCAGUCUGUAAGAUGUAGGGCGUGUGACUUCGGCGACCACGAAGGGUCCUUCCCAAGGUGUAGAUAACUUGUGCAUUCCUUCUUGGCUUGUUUUCCAUUUGAGUACCAGAUCACCGACCACGAAGGAGCGGUCUUUGACGUUCCUGUUGUGGUUCCGCCUAAUCGCUGUUCGAAGGCACGAGAUUAGGCGCUUUUCUUCUGUGCAGUUGAUUUCGAGUUCUCUGGCGAGGUCGGCCGAAGACUGGUCGAAAUGUUCGACUCUUGGAGACCCAAAGACCACGUCCGAAGGGAGCACUGCUUCGGUGCCGUAAACCAUGAAGUAGGGUGAUGCACCCGUAUUGCGACUAGCCUGUGUUCGGAGACCCCAAACCACAGCUGGUAACUCUUUCAUCCAUCGUCUUGGUGCUCUGUUGUUUUCAGUAUACAACCUUUUCUUCAAAGCAUCGAUAAUCAUUCCGUUUGCUCGCUCUACUUGACCGUUGGCCCGUGGGUGGGCUACCGACACGUACUUUAUGACUAUGCUUCUGUCAUCGCAGAAGUCCCAUAAUGUAGUGCCGGUGAACUGAGUGCCCAGAUCAGUGAUUAUGCUAUUGGGGACCCCGAUUCUAUGUAUGAUUUGAUUGAGGAACUCCACGGCCUUCUCGGAAGUUGCUUUGACCAGUGGCAUGUACUCGAUCCAUUUCGAGAAUUUGUCGAUUAGUACGAAGACAAAUUUGAAAUUGUCGGG
RNAcentral lists this long non-coding RNA (5358 nucleotides) under Sorghum bicolor (sorghum). Its description in RNAcentral is "long non-coding RNA (SBIC_LNC006950)". Lineage: Eukaryota; Viridiplantae; Streptophyta; Magnoliopsida; Poales; Poaceae. The record is from RNAcentral.